AGGCGGCCCCGGCCGCGCCGCGCCCAUGGCGGUGGCCAGGAGGAUCAAAACUUUGCUGACGGUCAACAUCCUAGUGUUCGUGGGCAUCGUGCUGUUCUCUGUGUACUGCCGCCUGCAGGCCCGCUCCGAGGCGCUGGUGCAGGUCGUGCGCGCCGCCGACCGCCGGGUGCGCAGCCGGCUCGCCAAGGCGGGCGCACUGGCCGACCGCGAGGCCAUCCUGCAGCGCCUGGACCAUCUGGAGGAGGUGGUCUACAACCAGCUUAACGGCCUGGCCAAGCCCAUCGGCCUGGUGGAGGGGCCAGGUGGCCUGGGCCAGGGGGGCAUGGCGGCUGCCCUGCGCGAAGACAGCCAAGAGGUUGAGGGCCGCUACGAGGAGUACGGGUACAAUGCCCAGCUCAGUGACCGCAUCUCGCUGGACAGGACCAUCCCCGACUACCGGCCCCAGAGGUGCCGACAGAUGACGUACGCCGAGGACUUGCCGCAGGUCUCCGUAGUCUUCAUCUUUGUCAACGAGGCCCUGUCGGUCAUCCUGCGCUCCGUGCACAGCGUGGUCAACCACACGCCCUCGCGGCUGCUCAAGGAGGUCAUCCUGGUGGACGACAACAGCGACAACGCGGACCUCAAGUUCAGCCUGGACCAGUAUGUGCACAGGCGGUACCCGGGGCUGGUCAAGGUCGUGCGCAACAGCCGGCGGGAAGGCCUGAUCCGCGCACGGCUGCAGGGCUGGAAGGCAGCCACUGCACCUGUCGUCGGCUUCUUUGACGCCCACGUGGAGUUCAACACUGGCUGGGCCGAGCCCGCCCUGGCGCGGAUCCGCGAGGACCGGCGGCGCGUGGUCCUGCCGGCCAUCGACAACAUCAAGUACAGCACGUUCGAGGUGCAGCAGUACGCCAACGCCGCCCACGGCUACAACUGGGGCCUGUGGUGCAUGUACAUCGUCCCCCCGCAGGACUGGCUGGACCGCGGUGACGAGGCCGCGCCCAUCAGGACGCCCGCCAUGAUCGGCUGCUCGUUUGUGGUGGACCGCGAAUACUUCGGGGACAUCGGCCUGCUGGACCCCGGCAUGGAGGUGUAUGGGGCCGAGAACAUCGAGCUGGGCAUGCGGGUGUGGCAGUGCGGCGGCAGCAUGGAGGUGCUGCCCUGCUCCCGCGUGGCCCACAUCGAGCGCACCAGGAAGCCCUACAACAACGACAUCGACUACUACGCCAAGCGCAAUGCGCUGCGGGCCGCCGAGGUGUGGAUGGACGAGUUCAAGUCGCACGUGUACAUGGCCUGGAACAUCCCCAUGACCAGCCCCGGGGUGGACUUCGGGGACGUGUCCGAGAGGCUGGCCCUGCGCCAGAGGCUGAAGUGCCGCAGCUUCCGGUGGUACCUGGAGAACGUGUAUCCCGAGAUGAGGGUCUACAACAACACCCUUACGUACGGAGAGGUAAGAAACAGCAAAGCCAGCGGCUACUGCUUGGACCAGGGGGCGGAAGACGAUGACCGGGCCAUCCUGUACCCGUGCCACGGCAUGUCCUCCCAGGGGUCAGGAGUGCGUCCCCUCUGUCCAUGGGGUGCCCCAGGGGCCCAUCCGCUCAGGGCAGCUGUCCCCCCAGCUUGUGCGGUACAGCGCUGACGGCCUCCUGCAGCUGGGCCCACUGGGCUCUACCGCCUUCCUGCCUGACUCCAAGUGUCUGGUGGACGACAGUCGAGGCCGCACACCUGCCCUGCGGAGAUGUGAGGAUGUGGCUCGUCCCACACAGCGGCUCUGGGACUUUACACAGGGAGGCCCCAUCGUGAGCCGGGACACAGGCCGCUGCCUGGAGGUAGAGGUGUCCAAAGACGUGAGCUUCGGGCUGCGGCUGGUUGUGCAGCGGUGCUCGGGGCAGAAGUGGACCAUCCGGAACUGGGUCAAGCACGGGAGGCACUGACCCUCGCCUGCCACCUUUGCCACAGGCACGGCUCUUGAGCCCCACAGACCCUCAGGGCUGGGCCCCGACUCCCAAGUCGGGGCAGGAGGGGAGCACCAGGCCACAGCCUCGGUCACCGUGUCAGGGGCGCGGACCCCAAGGACAGGUGGGUUGUCCAGGGGCCUCCAGGGACGGCGAUAGUAAUGCCGAACACGUGCCUUUUCCUCGGAGUUCCUGCCUUCCUGCAUGUGCUAAGCCCUGUGCACAGCCCACGGGGACAGUGCCCAGCCAGCUGAAGACGGACGAGGACAAGGAGGACAGUCCCGAGACCGCACACAGUGCUCCCACCUGGAGAGAACAGAUCCAGGCCUCACCUGUGCCCCAGCGCCUCUGUUCAGCCAAUCUAAGGCAGAGAUCAGAGCGGCACUGGAGGCCUGGUAGCAGGGAGAGGGGAGAAAGCUCUGCUCAUGGCCCUAAAAACCCAAAGCUGUGCUAUGGAGGUGACACCAGACCAUGGCCACAAAGCCGUGGGGACAUGUGCCUGCCCGGCCAGGUUGCCUGCUGGCCGGGGUCCAGGGAUGGCACUGGCCGGGGGUCCCAGCUUUGCCCCCCCCAGCCCUGGCUUCAGCUCAUGUUGCUCUCCUGCCCUCGGCGGCAGGGGGUCAGUGAAGGACACCCGGGCCCUUGCCUGUUUUUUAAAUAAAGUUUUAUUGGCACAUGGCCACA
This is a non-coding RNA of Heterocephalus glaber (naked mole-rat), 2618 nucleotides long. NCBI's taxonomy places the organism in Eukaryota, Metazoa, Chordata, Mammalia, Rodentia, Bathyergidae. The record is from RefSeq and is a predicted model, not a curated record.